AGUGAACGCUGGCGGUAGGCCUAACACAUGCAAGUCGAACGGCAGCACAGGAGAGCUUGCUCUCUGGGUGGCGAGUGGCGGACGGGUGAGGAAUACAUCGGAAUCUACUCUGUCGUGGGGGAUAACGUAGGGAAACUUACGCUAAUACCGCAUACGACCUACGGGUGAAAGCAGGGGAUCUUCGGACCUUGCGCGAUUGAAUGAGCCGAUGUCGGAUUGGCUAGUUGGCGGGGUAAAGGCCCACCAAGGCGACGAUCCGUAGCUGGUCUGAGAGGAUGAUCAGCCAAACUGGAGCUGAGACACGGUCCAGACUCCUACGGGAGGCAGCAGUGGGGAAUAUUGGACAAUGGGCGCAAGCCUGAUCCAGCCAUACCGCGUGGGUGAAGAAGGCCUUCGGGUUGUAAAGCCCUUUUGUUGGGAAAGAAAUCCAGCUGGCUAAUACCCGGUUGGGAUGACGGUACCCAAAGAAUAAGCACCGGCUAACUUCGUGCCAGCCGCCGCCGUAA
Molecule: ribosomal RNA, 506 nt
Filed under: uncultured bacterium
Lineage: Bacteria
Description: partial 16S ribosomal RNA
Rfam family: Bacterial small subunit ribosomal RNA
Source: RNAcentral